Molecule: non-coding RNA, 837 nt
Organism: Struthio camelus australis
Lineage: Eukaryota; Metazoa; Chordata; Aves; Struthioniformes; Struthionidae
Source: RefSeq, a predicted model, not a curated record
AGAGAGAGAGAAAGAAAAAUACUCCUUUGUUAAACAAAGUUGCUAGAAUUUGCAAACAAUAUCACAAACCUUAUUUGGUGCCUGGUAGCCAUUAGGCUGCGUCUCCCUACAAGACUGAAGUAAGAUAUCAAGAACCUUAGCCAAGAGAAACCAAAAGUUUCUUUGCAUUUUUUCUGCAUCUAAGAAACAAGGAGCACUUUAUAAAGAGGGCUGAGCAGUAAUACUGACAUUAGGUAGUUAUGAUUCUUAAUACUGCUUGCACAGGCUUCUUCUGGCAUGUACAUUUGCCACAUAAUACUUUGUUAAUGUGUUCUUCCACAAACUGAAAUUCAUUUAGGACAUCUCUGCACAGAACUGCUUUUGUCCUGCUUCAGCUUUAAUACUGCUGUUUUCCCCCUUCUCCCAUCCCUUAAGAGGGAAACAUCUUCACAGCACACUUGGACUUGGUGAGGUGCUUCUUCACAACUUAAGACAUUUGGCUUCAUAAAGAAUGUGGAAGAGUAAUUUCAACUCUAUGACAGACACCUAACUAAGCUCUCUUAAAGGACAGUCAGAAGAAAACCUAUUGAGAACUUGGAUCCCUCAUCUUAUAUGACAAGGCAGCUAUUCUAAAAACUCUCCUGGCUUGAAAAUGGGCCUCUCCUUGAAGAUGGUAUUUCAAAUGUUACAAGGGUGUGGAAGGCAGAGAGCCAUGGGGAAUCAGAAGACAUUUGCUGAACAAACCCUCUUCUUCAAAGCUGUUGAACUUCUCCACCAGACAAGAAAAAACAGCUGGAGCUAGAGUAAGGUAACCAAGACAGCUGAUAAAGUAAUAGGAAAACUUUUUUUUUUUUUUUG